CUUUUUACAAGGACAUAUAGUGAUAAGACAAGGGGUAAUGGCUUUAAACUGAAAUAGGGGAGAUUUAGAUUGGAUAUUAGGAAGGAAUUUUUGACUGU
This is a long non-coding RNA of Corvus hawaiiensis (hawaiian crow), 98 nucleotides long. RefSeq lists it as uncharacterized. The record is from RefSeq and is a predicted model, not a curated record. NCBI's taxonomy places the organism in Eukaryota, Metazoa, Chordata, Aves, Passeriformes, Corvidae. The transcript is spliced from 3 exons.